AGAAUAUAAGAACCCGUCUCUCAACUUUUAACUAAAAAAACUAAGAACUGACUCUUAAAUAAGAGUUUUAAAAACCGGUUCUUAACUUUUAACUAAGUUAAAAAUUAAGAGACGGGUUCUUAUACUCC
MicroRNA precursor from Brassica oleracea var. oleracea, 128 nucleotides. It matches the Rfam family "MIR9563 microRNA precursor family". The record is from Rfam. Lineage: Eukaryota; Viridiplantae; Streptophyta; Magnoliopsida; Brassicales; Brassicaceae.